AGUGAACGCUGGCGGUAGGCCUAACACAUGCAAGUCGAACGGCAGCACAGUAAGAGCUUGCUCUUACGGGUGGCGAGUGGCGGACGGGUGAGGAAUACAUCGGAAUCUACUUUUUCGUGGGGGAUAACGUAGGGAAACUUACGCUAAUACCGCAUACGACCUACGGGUGAAAGCAGGGGAUCUUCGGACCUUGCGCGAUUGAAUGAGCCGAUGUCGGAUUAGCUAGUUGGCGGGGUAAAGGCCCACCAAGGCGACGAUCCGUAGCUGGUCUGAGAGGAUGAUCAGCCACACUGGAACUGAGACACGGUCCAGACUCCUAAGGGAGGCAGCAGUGGGGAAUAUUGGACAAAGGGCGCAAGCAUGAUCCAGCCAUACCGCGUGGGUGAAGAAGGCCUUCGGGUUGUAAAGCCCUUUUGUUGGGAAAGAAAAGCAGCAGGUUAAUACCCCGCUGUUCUGACGGUACCCAAAGAAUAAGCACCGGCUAACUUCGUG
This 492-nucleotide ribosomal RNA is filed under the name uncultured bacterium. Its description in RNAcentral is "partial 16S ribosomal RNA". It matches the Rfam family "Bacterial small subunit ribosomal RNA", at positions 29 to 507 of the family's 1533-position model. The record is from RNAcentral.